RNAcentral lists this ribosomal RNA (800 nucleotides) under uncultured bacterium. Its description in RNAcentral is "bacterial SSU rRNA". It matches the Rfam family "Bacterial small subunit ribosomal RNA", at positions 113 to 908 of the family's 1533-position model. The record is from RNAcentral.
AUGCCUAGGAAUCUGCCUAGUAGUGGGGGAUAACGCCCGGAAACGGGCGCUAAUACCGCAUACGUCCUACGGGAGAAAGUGGGGGAUCUUCGGACCUCACGCUAUUAGAUGAGCCUAGGUCGGAUUAGCUAGUUGGUGAGGUAAUGGCUCACCAAGGCGACGAUCCGUAACUGGUCUGAGAGGAUGAUCAGUCACACUGGAACUGAGACACGGUCCAGACUCCUACGGGAGGCAGCAGUGGGGAAUAUUGGACAAUGGGCGAAAGCCUGAUCCAGCCAUGCCGCGUGUGUGAAGAAGGUCUUCGGAUUGUAAAGCACUUUAAGUUGGGAGGAAGGGCAGUUACCUAAUACGUGAUUGUUUUGACGUUACCGACAGAAUAAGCACCGGCUAACUCUGUGCCAGCAGCCGCGGUAAUACAGAGGGUGCAAGCGUUAAUCGGAAUUACUGGGCGUAAAGCGCGCGUAGGUGGUUUGUUAAGUUGGAUGUGAAAGCCCCGGGCUCAACCUGGGAACUGCAUCCAAAACUGGCAAGCUAGAGUAUGGUAGAGGGUGGUGGAAUUUCCUGUGUAGCGGUGAAAUGCGUAGAUAUAGGAAGGAACACCAGUGGCGAAGGCGACCACCUGGACUGAUACUGACACUGAGGUGCGAAAGCGUGGGGGAGCAAACAGGAUUAGAUACCCUGGUAGUCCACGCCGUAAACGAUGUCAACUAGCCGUUGGGAGCCUUGAGCUCUUAGUGGCGCAGCUAACGCAUUAAGUUGACCGCCUGGGGAGUACGGCCGCAAGGUCAAAACUCAAAUGA